This 292-nucleotide ribosomal RNA is filed under the name uncultured bacterium. RNAcentral's name for it is "partial 16S ribosomal RNA". It matches the Rfam family "Bacterial small subunit ribosomal RNA", at positions 505 to 796 of the family's 1533-position model. The record is from RNAcentral.
GUGUCAGCAGCCGCGGUAACACGUAGGAGGCGAACGUUAUCCGGAAUUACUGGGCGUAAAGCGCGCGUAGGCGGCUCUGUAAGUCCGACGUGAAAGCUCCUGGCUUAACUGGGAGAGGUCGUUGGAUACUGCAAAGCUCGAGGUUAGGAGAGGAAAGUGGAAUUCCCGGUGUAGUGGUGGAAUGCGUAGAUAUCGGGAGGAACUCCAGUGGCGAAAGCGACUUUCUGGCCUACACCUAACGCUGAAGCGCGAAAGCGUGGGGAGCGAACAGGAUUAGAAACCCCUGUAGUCC